GUCUACAGCCAUAUCACCCUGAACAAGCCCGAUGUCUGAUCUCGGAAGCUAAGCAGGGUCUGACCUGGUUAGUACUUGGAUGGGAGACCACCUAGGAAGACCAGGUGCUGUAGGCA
Molecule: ribosomal RNA, 116 nt
Filed under: Pteropus alecto (black flying fox)
Lineage: Eukaryota; Metazoa; Chordata; Mammalia; Chiroptera; Pteropodidae
Source: RNAcentral